This 425-nucleotide ribosomal RNA is filed under the name uncultured rumen bacterium. Its description in RNAcentral is "bacterial SSU rRNA". It matches the Rfam family "Bacterial small subunit ribosomal RNA", at positions 354 to 776 of the family's 1533-position model. The record is from RNAcentral.
GUGAGGAAUAUUGGACAAUGGCCGAGAGGCUGAUCCAGCCAUGCCGCGUGCGGGAAGACGGCCCUAUGGGUUGUAAACCGCUUUUGUUGGGGAGCAAUAAGGUCCACGUGUGGAUCGAUGAGAGUACCCAGCGAAUAAGCAUCGGCUAACUCCGUGCCAGCAGCCGCGGUAAUACGGAGGAUGCAAGCGUUAUCCGGAUUUAUUGGGUUUAAAGGGUGCGUAGGCGGAUUUUUAAGCGUGAGGUGAAAUGCCCGGGCUCAACCUGGGAACUGCCUCGCGAACUGGAAGUCUGGAAUGUCCGUGCCGUGGGAGGAAUGUGUGGUGUAGCGGUGAAAUGCAUAGAGAUCACACAGAACACCGAUUGCGAAGGCAUCUCACGAACGGAUGAUUGACGCUGAGGCACGAAAGCGUGGGGAUCAAACAGG